AGUGAACGCUGGCGGUAGGCCUAACACAUGCAAGUCGAACGGCAGCACAGUAAGAGCUUGCUCUUACGGGUGGCGAGUGGCGGACGGGUGAGGAAUACAUCGGAAUCUACUUUUUCGUGGGGGAUAACGUAGGGAAACUUACGCUACUACCGCAUACGACCUACGGGUGAAAGCAGGGGAUCUUCGGACCUUGCGCGAUUGAAUGAGCCGAUGUCGGAUUAGCUAGUUGGCGGGGUAAAGGCCCACCAAGGCGACGAUCCGUAGCUGGUCUGAGAGGAUGAUCGGCCACACUGGAACUGAGACACGGUCCAGACUCCUACGGGAGGCAGCAGUGGGGAAUAUUGGGCUAUGGGCGCAAGCCUGAUCCAGCCAUACCGCGUGAGUGAAGAAGGCCUUCGGGUUGUAAAGCCCUUUUGUUGGGAAAGAAAAGCAGCAGGUUAAUACCCCGCUGUUCUGACGGUACCCAAUGAAUAAGCACCGGCUAACUUCGUG
RNAcentral lists this ribosomal RNA (492 nucleotides) under uncultured bacterium. RNAcentral's name for it is "partial 16S ribosomal RNA". It matches the Rfam family "Bacterial small subunit ribosomal RNA", at positions 29 to 507 of the family's 1533-position model. The record is from RNAcentral.